RNAcentral lists this long non-coding RNA (436 nucleotides) under Homo sapiens (human). RNAcentral describes it as "HSALNT0308466". The record is from RNAcentral. Lineage: Eukaryota; Metazoa; Chordata; Mammalia; Primates; Hominidae.
CGCAGGAGAGCUCCUAUGGGGGCACGUCCAGAAAAGCCCCAAAGGGGGAUUGGAGGAAAGCACGUGGAUCUACACUCUUUCCAGCACCGGCAAAGGUAUCGAUCGCAAGAGUGCCCCCAAUCAACUUUCUGCAAGCAAAUCUCUGUUUCAUGGAGAACCUGGCCUGCAACAUGACACCUCUCACCACAUCUUACGUCAGCAGUUUCUAAAUGUGUGCUGUGGACUUGCUACAGCAGAUAUGUUUGGAGAAAAAAAUUCAUAUUUCUCAUGUUCACCCCACACCUACAAAACCAUAAUCUCCAUGAAUGGGUCCCAAGGAUGUGUAUUUUUUCAAAGCUCCUCCUCCACUGCUGAAUCUAGUGUAUAGCUUGAUGUAGAAACCACUGCUAUACCAAAGGCUCAGCCUCAAAUCAGCCUACAGCUUCUAUCUUGCUCC